UUAAAUAAAAAUCGGUGUUGUUGCUGCGUUUUCGUGGUGACGCGUCGGAAUUGGGUCGUCUUAACUUCGGUUUAAGUGAUUUAAAAUUUUUCAUGAUUUUUGAACGUAUUUAAAUUGCUUACGUACGUUUGAGAUUUCGAAUGUUUAUUAGGUUCGGUCAUCCUCAUGACCCGCGCCUAUAAUUUUUCAUU
RNAcentral lists this unclassified non-coding RNA (191 nucleotides) under uncultured Glomeromycotina. Its description in RNAcentral is "sequence contains ITS2". The record is from RNAcentral. Lineage: Eukaryota; Fungi; Glomeromycota.